RNAcentral lists this small nuclear RNA (297 nucleotides) under Erinaceus europaeus (western European hedgehog). Its description in RNAcentral is "7SK RNA". It matches the Rfam family "7SK RNA". From Rfam's summary of the family: 7SK was discovered as an abundant small nuclear RNA in the mid-70s but a possible function has only recently been suggested. Two independent studies have found that 7SK RNA binds the CDK9/cyclin T complex (known as elongation factor P-TEFb). The record is from Rfam by way of RNAcentral. Lineage: Eukaryota; Metazoa; Chordata; Mammalia; Eulipotyphla; Erinaceidae.
AAAUUAGAGGCUGAUGUGGCUGUGGCAUCUGUCGCCCCAUUGAUCACUGACUGGGGUUGAUGCGGCUGACCUGGCUGGCUAGGCUGGUGCCCCCUUCCUCCCUCAGCGUUCCAUGUGCGCCCCUCCGGAACAAAAUAAUGCGCUAAAAGAGGACGCAUGCACGGACAGGUCUUCUGAGUCUUAUGAGUAGCUGUGUUCCCCUGCUAGAACCUCCAAACAAGUUCUCAAGACUUUGCAGAUUAGGCCAGUGGUAGCGCACCUGGUUGAGUGAACAUCUUACAAUGCGGGAGGUUCGAG